GAAAUCUCUUUAACAAAACUAAUUUCCCCACAAAAUCAAUGGAAAUCAACUUAUAUAGAUCUUGAACUCUGAAAUCAUUUAAUUUCUAUUACUUUGUGUCUAACAAUUCUCAACCAAACAAAGGAAAUGAUUUCAUUUUUAUUUUUCUUAUUUCAUUUCCUCCUACCAAAUAAACAUAUGGUAAACCAUAUGGUUAGUUGUUAAGAACAUUGCUAGUUUCGAAACAUUUUAAGGAUAUCAAAUCUGUAAGUGAAAAGAGGGUGAGCAGAAAUUAUUUUAUAUGGGGUAUAGAACUAUGAAGUUUUUGCACGGAUACUAACUUUUCUCGGCCAUGUGGUGUAAAUACGAACUUCUGUGGGGAAACUUGUAAAAAUACAAAUACCGGUGUCUUAGACACUGGUCUUGCUUUUUUGACAAAGCCGGUGAUGUAGCUACCGGUUUUUCCUUGUUUUCUCUCCUUUUCAAUUUCUCCUGUAUUAAUCUUGUGGGAACAUCGCAGAAAGCCGGUGAUGAAGGGGAGUCUAAGACCGAUGUCUUUGACACCGGCGUAGUCAGGAAAAGAGAAAACAAAGGCAAGAUCGGUGUUGGAGACAACUGGAAUCACUACUUACUAACUUUUGAUCCAAUUUGAUCAUUUGAGUUCUCGUUCUCAUAAAACUACAAAGAGUAAACAAGAGUAUCUCAGUGUGUAUGCAUUGUGUAUGGUAUAUAUCCUAGGCCCGUCGACACCAAUUGUAUUAGACGACUCAUGAUCUUUCAUGUACUUUAAUGUAAUGCAAGAGGUUAACUAUUAUCGAAAAAUACCCUUUACAUGUUUAUGAUAAUCAGAUAGUAUUUCAAUCUUUGAUUU
This is a long non-coding RNA of Erigeron canadensis, 850 nucleotides long. RefSeq lists it as uncharacterized. NCBI's taxonomy places the organism in Eukaryota, Viridiplantae, Streptophyta, Magnoliopsida, Asterales, Asteraceae. The transcript has 2 exons. The record is from RefSeq and is a predicted model, not a curated record.